Molecule: long non-coding RNA, 1440 nt
Organism: Hypanus sabinus (Atlantic stingray)
Lineage: Eukaryota; Metazoa; Chordata; Chondrichthyes; Myliobatiformes; Dasyatidae
Exons: 5
Source: RefSeq, a predicted model, not a curated record
UGGAGCUCCACAUUGUCAUGGCAACGAGCUUGUAUUCGGUAGAUUGCUUCAGGAUAAACACAGCGAAACUCCAGAUAAAGUAUUAAUCGCAGAACGGUUGUAAAGAUCGCCAAUAGUGCAAGUCUGAGAGGAGCUCGAAAUAAAAAUCAGGUGUCAUUUUUCAUAGCUGAAUCCCAGGAGCUAACCACAGACAAGAAAAUGACAAUGUUCUGGAGAAAGGAGGAGAAUGGGACUAAUUGGAAAGUGCUUUCAGAUUGCACAGAUGCAGGAUGAGCAGUUUCCAUCUCUGCCAUCAUUUUAUGGUAACAUUGAAGGUACAAUUUUGGAUGAGAGCUGAAAAUUUGCCCAAUGACUAUUUUUUACAGAAAGUGCUGAAAGCUGUGGGUGCUGUUUAUUUCAGUGUGAUGCGGCAGUGAAUUUAAUGGAUCUAUAUAAUUCUUGCUUCUUCUGCACUAAUGAAUCACCAGCUUGUACAAAGAAAAUGAACUCCACUACAAGUCUCUGUGGUCUAAAGCCGCAUGAAGAGCCAUUGAGAUUGCAUCUGCCAUUGACCUAUUGUGAUGAUAGGCAAAUUGCAAUGGGUCCAGGUGUUUGCUGAGGCAUUUACAGGAAAACAAAGAAAUACUUUAAAGACUCCUGAGAAGUAAACCCUUUUACCUUUGACCAUAGAGCUCAAAAUCUUAUCUUAACAAAGGGUACCAAGUGUUGUUUUAAACAGUAAACCAUGAUAAUUAUAUUCUCCUUUCUACCUAUGGCAAGUAGAGAGAUUUACUGCAGAGUUCAAAGUUUUAAAAUAAAUGUUUAAAGUUAAUACACUUAAAAGAGAGGACACACUGAAACCUUCCUGGAGAUCCAUGUUAUAACUGCAGGAGGAGCAGAAGUCUUGUGGACUAGUAAUUAAAGAAAUGCAGGCAUGGCUGUUGAAAAACCUUUGGCUGUGAAGCUAUAAAUACAACUCCUUUUGAGCAACUGGUACAAAUAGGAAGUGUUUUGUACCAUUUAUAUUUCAUUUUUGUUUCUCACCCCAUGCGCCAGCUAUUUUGUCGUCAAUGCACUUUUGUUUAAAGACAGUCAACAUGUUGUAUCCCACUGAAGCUGGUUGGCUCCUGCCUCAUAUUGUAAUCAGCAGAGAGCUGAAACACAAUAUAUGUUCUGUACUUUCUGGCUGCCUGAACAAGGAGAAAUAAACAAUAAAGCAUUCACUUCAUUAUCAAUAAUUUAAGGAUAAAUGUUCUAUGUAAUGGAUGAAGAAAGGGGACUUACUUUGUUACAAUGUACCUUUCACACCUCACGUCUAAUUAAGCAAACUAAUACAUUUAAUAGAAGAUUUCUGAUUUUUUUACAUUCACUCAUUCUGGAGGAGGGAAGUUUGUUGCUGAAACUGGCAAUUGAACAUCUAUCCCUGCCUGCCUGUGAGUUUAGGGUUGCUAGGCCACAAGA